AUUGAACGCUGGCGGCAGGCCUAACACAUGCAAGUCGAGCGGAUGAAGGGAGCUUGCUCCUGGAUUCAGCGGCGGACGGGUGAGUAAUGCCUAGGAAUCUGCCUGGUAGUGGGGGAUAACGUCCGGAAACGGGCGCUAAUACUGCAUACGUCCUGAGGGAGAAAGUGGGGGAUCUUCGGACCUCACGCUAUCAGAUGAGCCUAGGUCGGAUUAGCUAGCUGGUGGGGUAAAGGCCUACCAAGGCGACGAUCCUUAACUGGUCUGAGAGGAUGAUCAGUCGCACUGGAACUGAGACACGGUCCAGACUCCUACGGGAGGCAGCAGUGGGGAAUAUUGGACAGUGGGCGAAAGCCUGAUCCAGCCAUGCCGCGUGUGUGAAGAAGGUCUUCGGAUUGUAAAGCACUUUAAGUUGGGAGGAAGGGCAGUAAGUUAAUACCUUGCUGUUUUGACGUUACCAACAGAAUAAGCACCGGCUAACUUCGUG
RNAcentral lists this ribosomal RNA (484 nucleotides) under uncultured bacterium. RNAcentral describes it as "partial 16S ribosomal RNA". It matches the Rfam family "Bacterial small subunit ribosomal RNA", at positions 30 to 507 of the family's 1533-position model. The record is from RNAcentral.